GACGAACGCUGGCGGCGUGCCUAAUACAUGCAAGUCGAGCGAUGAAGAGUGGUGCUUGCUCCAAUUUGAAAAGCAGCGAACGGGUGAGUAACGCGUGGGGAAUCUGCCUUUGAGCGGGGGACAACAUUUGGAAACGAAUGCUAAUACCGCAUAACAACUUUAAACAUAAGUUUUAAGAUUGAAAGAUGCAAUUGCAUCACUUAAAGAUGAUCCCGCGUUGUAUUAGCAAGUUGGUGAGGUAAAGGCUCACCAAGGCGAGGAUACGUAGCCGACCUGAGAGGUGGACGGGCCACACUGGAAUUGAGACACGCCCCAGACCCCUAGGGAGGCCAGAGGAGGGGAACAUCGGGAAAUGGGGGAAGGCUGGCCGGGGCACGGCGGGUGAGUGAAGGAAGGUUUUGGGAUGUAAAACUCUGUUGGUAGGGGAGGACGUUAGUGAGAGUGAAAAACUCACCAAUUGACGGUACCUACCCAGAAAGGGACGGCUAACUACGUG
This 496-nucleotide ribosomal RNA is filed under the name uncultured bacterium. RNAcentral's name for it is "partial 16S ribosomal RNA". It matches the Rfam family "Bacterial small subunit ribosomal RNA", at positions 28 to 507 of the family's 1533-position model. The record is from RNAcentral.